Molecule: long non-coding RNA, 1011 nt
Organism: Conger conger (European conger)
Lineage: Eukaryota; Metazoa; Chordata; Actinopteri; Anguilliformes; Congridae
Exons: 2
Source: RefSeq, a predicted model, not a curated record
CAAGGUGUGUGGACUCUUUAGCCAAUGAAAGAGUUAGAAAUGUAUCUCUCGUGCUGAAACACACCAAAUACCAGCAGACACUGCGGCCCUCCAGGACUGGAGUUAAACCAGCAGACACUGCGGCCCUCCAGGACUGGAGUUUGACACCCCUGAUGCAAACACUCUUGAAGCCUGGAUUUAAAACCACAUACAUCACAAUCACAGAGAGAGACCGGCAGCUUCCCUGGUCCUGCUGACCAUACCUCUGACAGCUGAGGAUACACCAUCGGCGACCCAUGGAUCUAGCGAUCCUGAGAACGGCACGUCUUCUUCAAGCAGCAUCGUCUCAGCGCCCGUGACCGUGAUUCCGGUUGCGAUUCUUCGUGGCGAUCCAAAUGGCACCACUGCACAGGAGCCUGUCUGUCGAAGAGCGCCUGGGUUCAGCGGUCACCUCAGGACCCCGGGUCUCUGUGCCUUCGCCUGCCCAUCCGUUUCAAUCCGUUCAACCCAGGGGUGCGCAACAAGGGCCCAUCCGUUUCAGGAUUUUGUGCCAACUUAAUUAUUUAAUUGACUGUCAUAUCUCAUGUGUUUGGGUACCAGCUACAGCUGCAAAUGUAUCCUCAUGUGCUCCAGUACAGGCUUGAACCAGGGUCAUUUAUAGAGCUGUCAGCAAAACAAGGCAAUUGGUAGGAACAAAAACCAGUACGCAGACUAGCCCGUGAGGAGUUGUGCACCCAUGGUUUAACCCCUCCCUACCCUCAGCACUCAUUUACUCAAGGUUGCCAAGCAGUCCGCGUCCUGACAAACGAUCGAUUGUUCAUUUUAUGCCAAACGGAAGCCUGGGAUCGACCUGAGGGACGAAUGCCCCAUGCCCCGAGACGGACACGCUUGCUGCUUUUAUUUUUGCACUCGGUGGAGAGUGGAAGGAUGAUCACUGUAAAAUCUAAUCAUUGAUCUGGUUCUGUGGAUUUCAGUUAUGUUCUGUCAUGAAAAAUUUUGAAACAGACUAAAAUAAACUGCUAAACAAUGAAA